GAGGGCGCUGCGCGUCAGGGCUGCGGGGCGGCUUUGCUGAGGCGCGAUUCGGCUCCUCGCCAGUCACCUCAGCCCGAGUCCUCCCUACCAGCCUGAGAGCUGGCACCAUAGUGAUGAAGCCCCUGAGCAGGAGUGCAAGAGCCAAAGGAAGAUGCUGAAGAACACAGAAGAAUGCCUUCAGAUAAGGAGAGACAGAGCUUCCUAUGACAGCAGGAAGGUUUGAAUCUGCUGUCAUUUAAAAUCCCAUUCCAAAGGUCAUGUUUGUGUUUUAAAUGAAAUGCGAGGCUGACCUUUAUGCUCUGCCAGACAACAGUAGUAGUGAUGCAAGUGCUUCCUUUGAAUUCUGCAGGCUGAUUUUGUGCAGCGGGCUUUCCUUCAGAAGUGGCACGUGAGCUCUGCCUCUCCUGUCCUGCCGGUGCACCUUCUGUCCUACAUGACCAAGAUCCUACCCUGGGACGCAGUCUGGGGCUGACAAUCCAUGAAGGAAGAAUAAGGGAAUCCUGAAGCAGCAACAGACUGUUUGCUCCUGGACUUUGUCCAGAGGGACUGUUUGCACAUCAGUGCUCUCUCUUACCAGACACUCGUGUGACUGUGCUUGGAGCUGCUGGACUGGAACGCUUCAGACCCAUCCUCUCCAAAGGAGCUGCCCAUUCACUGUAACCCUUGGUGUGGAGCAGGGUGGCACCAGCCCUGGCUUGCUUGGGACCAUGGAAGAAAAGGAGAUGUCACCGAGUCUCACCUCAGAGAGCAGCAUAUUGGACCUCCCCUCUGUUUGUGACCUAGCAGAGCCCUUUCUGCCUCCACACAGCUCUGAAAACAGCCAGGAGCUUUAUCCUUCUGGGGAUGUUUUUCCCUCCCCACCCACAGGUAACAGCUUCUGCUUCUCCACAUGCUCUUUCUUUAGCCAGUGCUUCAUCU
Non-coding RNA from Lonchura striata (white-rumped munia), 918 nucleotides. NCBI's taxonomy places the organism in Eukaryota, Metazoa, Chordata, Aves, Passeriformes, Estrildidae. The record is from RefSeq and is a predicted model, not a curated record.